Molecule: long non-coding RNA, 781 nt
Organism: Ochotona curzoniae (black-lipped pika)
Lineage: Eukaryota; Metazoa; Chordata; Mammalia; Lagomorpha; Ochotonidae
Exons: 3
Source: RefSeq, a predicted model, not a curated record
UGGGUUUCUGAGCUUCUCUGAGCUGACAUGGCCUCAUCAGUAGGAGCAAAAUACCAAACUGGCAACGUUGAUAGCAAUGGGGUUGACACUGGUAAAGAUACGGUCUGGGAUGCUGAUAUCCCAUUGGAUGCCGGUUCCUGUCCCAGCUGCUCCACUUCUAAUCCAGCCCCUGUUAAUGACCUAGGAAAGAAAUAAUUUUUAUUAAACACUCCAGGAUUACAGAAGAUCAUAUAUAAAAUACGUUUUGAACUCUGAGAAAAUGACAAUAAAUCCCCAGGAAUUCUUCAGCCAGCAAGUGCUCAGGAUCAGUCCACGAGGUGAGGCACUGAGGAUCCCCUUGUGUGCAGACAGACUCAGUGGCUGCCCAAGAACCCAGGAAGGAACACAGCCUUUGAGAUCGUCAUACACAACAGUGGCAUAUACUACAAGGGGAAGUACAAAGCUACUACAAGGCUCCGUGUAGAGGCCAUAAGAUCAUUCGAGUAACUUAAGGAAGUCAGGGAUGGCUUCCCGGAUGAAGCGAUGAUUGAAGCAUGAAUGGGAAAAGCAUUCCGGAUAAGGAACAACACGUGCAAAGCCCUGUGUGUAGAGAUCCCAGUUGAAAGGACCGAAAAGAGGCCAGGGAGGUGGGAGACCCGUCAGUGAUGAGGCCUGAAGUGGAGAGGGGAGGGGAGAGCAGGCCUGCCGAGCUCUGGAUUCCAGUCUUCCCUCCUAUUUGAGGUGAUUGCACUCACUUUCAGUCAUGAUCCCUCCGGCUGCAGCGUGCAGGUGGGCCAGGAAU